UAAGAACCCAGGCACACACAUAUGUCCUU
Molecule: small RNA, 29 nt
Filed under: Bombyx mori (domestic silkworm)
Lineage: Eukaryota; Metazoa; Arthropoda; Insecta; Lepidoptera; Bombycidae
Description: ovarian small RNA-19111
Source: RNAcentral